GACGAACGCUGGCGGCGUGCCUAAUACAUGCAAGUCGAACGAAAAGACGAGGAGCUUGCUCCUCUGACGUUAGCGGCGGAGGGGAGAGUCACAUGUGGAUAACCUACCUAUAAGACUGGGAUAAUUACGGGACACAGGAGCUUAUAACGGAUAAUAUAUUGCACCGCAUUGUUCACUCGUUAAAGACGGUUUUUCUGUCACUAAUAGAUUGAUACGCGCCGCAUUAGCUAGUUGGUAAGGUAAAGGCUUAGCAAGGCAACGAUGCGUAGCCGACCUAAGAGGGUGAUUGCCCACCCGGGCAGUGAGACAGAGCACAGACUCCUACGGGAGGCCGCAGUAGGGAAUCUUACGCAAGGGGGGAGAGCCUGAUAGAGCAACGCGGCGGGAGGGAUGAAGGUCUUCGGAUCGGAAAGCGCUGUUAGUAGGGAAGAACAAAUGUGCAUUUAACCGGGCACGUAUUGACGGUACCGAAUGAAAAAGCCCCGGCUAACUACGUG
RNAcentral lists this ribosomal RNA (497 nucleotides) under uncultured bacterium. RNAcentral describes it as "partial 16S ribosomal RNA". It matches the Rfam family "Bacterial small subunit ribosomal RNA", at positions 28 to 507 of the family's 1533-position model. The record is from RNAcentral.